RNAcentral lists this ribosomal RNA (482 nucleotides) under uncultured bacterium. RNAcentral's name for it is "partial 16S ribosomal RNA". It matches the Rfam family "Bacterial small subunit ribosomal RNA", at positions 30 to 507 of the family's 1533-position model. The record is from RNAcentral.
AUUGAACGCUGGCGGCAUGCUUUACACAUGCAAGUCGAACGGUAACAGGCCGCAAGGUGCUGACGAGUGGCGAACGGGUGCGUAAUGCAUCGGAACGUGCCCAGUCGUGGGGGAUAACUACUCGAAAGAGUAGCUAAUACCGCAUACGAUCUAUGGAUGAAAGCGGGGGACCGUAAGGCCUCGCGCGAUUGGAGCGGCCGAUGUCAGAUUAGGUAGUUGGUGGGGUAAAGGCUCACCAAGCCAACGAUCUGUAGCUGGUCUGAGAGGACGACCAGCCACACUGGGACUGAGACACGGCCCAGACUCCUACGGGAGGCAGCAGUGGGGAAUUUUGGACAAUGGGCGCAAGCCUGAUCCAGCAAUGCCGCGUGGAGGAAGAAGGCCUUCGGGUUGUAAACUGCUUUUGUACGGAACGAAACGGCUCUGGUUAAUACCCGGGGCUAAUGACGGUACCGUAAGAAUAAGCACCGGCUAACUACGUG